CGGAGGAAAAGAAACUAACAAGGAUUCCCCUAGUAACGGCGAGUGAAGCGGGAAGAGCUCAAAUUUGUAAUCUGGCACCUUCGGUGUCCGAGUUGUAAUCUCGAGAAGUGUUUUCCGCGCCAGACCGCAUAUAAGUCUGUUGGAAUACAGCGUCAUAGUGGUGAGAACCCCGUAACUGAUGCGGAUGCCUGGUGCUCUGUGAUACACUUUCGAAGAGUCGAGUUGUUUGGGAAUGCAGCUCAAAUUGGGUGGUAAAUUCCAUCUAAAGCUAAAUAUUGGCGAGAGACCGAUAGCGAACAAGUACCGUGAGGGAAAGAUGAAAAGCACUUUGGAAAGAGAGUUAACAGUACGUGAAAUUGUUGGAAGGGAAACGCUUGAAGUCAGACUUGCUAUUUGGAGUUCAGCCGCAAGGUGUAUUCUUCAAUUUGCAGGCCAGCAUCAGUUUUUAGGGGUGGAAAAGGGUAUUGAGAAGGUAGCAGUUUCGGCUGUGUUAUAGCUCUUUACUGGAUUCACUCUUGGGGACUGAGGAACGCAGUACGCUUUUUGCAAGGCUCUCGGGCUUUUCGUACUUAGGAUGCUGGUGGAAUGGCUUUAAACGACCCGUC
This 605-nucleotide ribosomal RNA is filed under the name Bannozyma arctica. RNAcentral's name for it is "eukaryotic LSU rRNA". It matches the Rfam family "Eukaryotic large subunit ribosomal RNA", at positions 51 to 653 of the family's 3401-position model. Lineage: Eukaryota; Fungi; Basidiomycota; Microbotryomycetes; Chrysozymaceae. The record is from RNAcentral.